GAUGAAGAACGUAGCGAAAUGCGAUAAGUAAUGUGAAUUGCAGAAUUCAGUGAAUCAUCGAAUCUUUGAACGCACCUUGCGCUCUUUGGUAUUCCGAAGAGCAUGCCUAUUUGAGUGUCAUGAAAAUAUCAACCUUGACUUGGGUUUUGUGCUCUAGUCUCGGCUUGGAAUUGGGUGCUUGCCGCUUUUACGAGCGGCUCACCUUAAAUGUAUUAGCUGGAUCUGUCUUUGAGACUUGGUUUGACUUGGCGUAAUAAGUAUUUCGCUAAGGACAUUCUUCGGAGUGGCCUCGUUUCUAGGACGCUUGUCCGCUUUCCAAUACAAGUUCCACCUCGUGGACAUGACUUUUUAUUAUCUGGCCUCAAAUCAGGUAGGACUACCCGCUGAACUUAAGCAUAUCAAUAAGCGGAGGA
Molecule: unclassified non-coding RNA, 413 nt
Filed under: soil metagenome
Description: partial contains 5.8S ribosomal RNA, internal transcribed spacer 2, and large subunit ribosomal RNA
Rfam family: 5.8S ribosomal RNA (bases 1-120)
Source: RNAcentral